UACGUAGGGUGCAAGCGUUGUCCGGAAUUAUUGGGCGUAAAGAGCUCGUAGGCGGUUUGUCGCGUCGAAUGUGAAAACCCGGGGCUCAACCCCGGGCCUGCAUUCGAUACGGGCAGACUAGAGUUCGGUAGGGGAGACUGGAAUUCCUGGUGUAGCGGUGAAAUGCGCAGAUAUCAGGAGGAACACCGAUGGCGAAGGCAGGUCUCUGGGCCACUACUGACGCUGAGAAGCGAAAGCAUGGGGAGCGAACAGG
This 253-nucleotide ribosomal RNA is filed under the name uncultured bacterium. RNAcentral's name for it is "partial 16S ribosomal RNA". It matches the Rfam family "Bacterial small subunit ribosomal RNA", at positions 524 to 776 of the family's 1533-position model. The record is from RNAcentral.